RNAcentral lists this ribosomal RNA (253 nucleotides) under uncultured bacterium. Its description in RNAcentral is "partial 16S ribosomal RNA". It matches the Rfam family "Bacterial small subunit ribosomal RNA", at positions 524 to 776 of the family's 1533-position model. The record is from RNAcentral.
UACAGAGGGUGCGAGCGUUGUUCGGAAUUAUUGGGCGUAAAGGGCGCGUAGGCGGUGCGGUAAGUCACCUGUGAAAUCUCCUGGCUCAACUGGGAGCUUGCAGGCGAAACUGCCGUGCUGGAGUGUGGGAGAGGUAAGCGGAAUUCCUGGUGUAGCGGUGAAAUGCGUAGAUAUCAGGAGGAACACCUGUGGUGUAGACAGCUUACUGGACCACUUCUGACGCUGAGACACGAAAGCGUGGGUAGCAAACAGG